GUAGAUCGCAUUAUCUUGAAUCUCAAAGUCCGCCUCUCUGAUGUGCGGUCUUUUUCUUCAUACCUGCAAUGGAUGUUACGCCUGGAUUUGCAUUCUUUAUUAUUUUACUGCAUUUAAUUCACGCGAAUGGACUUUAUAUCUCCAAUGGCAUAGAGUCUCUGCAGCAUGUCCUGAGGGAGUAUGGAGUUGUUAAGCCUGUGAACACUGAUUCAGUGGGCCGGUUCCUCUCAGGCGCUGUCUCUGCACCUCAACUGGACAGCCAGCACCAGCAGGCUCACAGACGCUGGAAAAGAGAGGCUGUAGCCGCCUCAGACCCCAGCCAUGGAGACCUGGAGGAGGGAGAGGGUACAGCCAGGCACAGGGAGACACUCUUCUACAAUGUCACUGUGUUCGGCCAGGAGCUCCACCUGCGCCUGCACCUCAACUCCAGGCUGGUGGUCCCCGGAGCUAAGGUGGAGUGGCACGAGGAGGGCAGCGAGCCCACCUAUGAGCCUCUACGGGACAGCGACUGCUUUUAUGUAGGAGAGGUCACCAACGUCAGGGACACAUCCGUCGCUAUCAGCAACUGUGAUGGCCUGGCAGGAAUGAUCCGUACGGGGAAGGAGGAGUUCUUCAUCGAGCCCCUGGUGCGUGGAGGGGGCCUGAUGGUAGAGGAGGAAGAGAGAGGAGACGGACGACAUCACAUUGUUUAUCGCUCCUCUGCCAUUAAGAGGCCCCCUGUCAAUCAAACAGCAGACUCUCACCCCCGAGGGUCAGUUCUAGGUCAUCUGAUGGACCUGCAGGCCCUGUCCAGAGGAGUGCAGCAGCAGCAGCAUCACAACCGGAUCUGGAACAGGACCAGGCAGGCUCGAGCCCGUCGCCAGGCCAACGAGGAACACGAGCUGUUCAACAUCGAGGUUCUACUCGGGGUGGACUCCUCUGUGGUCCACUUCCAUGGCAGAGAGCACAUCCAGAAGUACCUCCUCACCCUCAUGAACAUAGUGAAUGAGAUUUACCAGGAUCGUACCCUGGGUGCUCACAUCAACGUGGUUCUGGUCCGUAUCAUCAUGCUGUGUCCUGCCAAGUCUAUGAGUCUGAUAGAGCUGGGCAACCCGUCUCAGAGUCUAGAGAACAUAUGUCGCUGGGCCUUCCUGCAGCAGAAGGAAGACAGGAGUGAUCCAGAGUACCAUGACCAUGCCAUCUUCCUCACCCGACAGGAGUUUGGACCCUCCGGCAUGCAAGGUUACGCUCCUGUGACGGGCAUGUGCCACCCAGUGCGGAGCUGCACUCUCAACCACGAGGAUGGCUUCUCCUCUGCCUUCGUCGUGGCACAUGAGACUGGACAUGUGCUGGGUAUGGAGCAUGAUGGCCCCCCUGGUAAUGAAUGUGGCGACGAGGUGCCCAUGGGCAGCAUCAUGGCCCCUCUGGUGCAGGCUGCCUUCCAUCGCUUCCACUGGUCCCGAUGCAGCCAGGCGGAGCUCAGCAAGUACCUGAACUCCUAUGACUGUCUCCGCGACGACCCCUUUGACCAUGACUGGCCGGCGUUGCCACAGUUACCAGGGAUCCACUACUCCAUGGACGAGCAGUGUCGAUUUGACUUUGGCGCCGGCUACAUCAUGUGCACGGCGUACAGCACCUAUGACCCCUGCAAGCAGCUCUGGUGCAGUCACCCAGACAACCCAUUCUUCUGCAAAACCAAGAAGGGUCCGCCCAUCGACGGCACUAAGUGUUCACCGGGGAUGCACUGCUUCAAAGGUUACUGCAUCAAGUUGACUCCAGACAUUCUAAGGCAGGAUGGUGGUUGGGGCACGUGGAGUAACUUUGGCUCCUGCUCUCGCACCUGUGGGGGCGGUGUGCGCUUCCGGACCCGUCAGUGUGACAACCCAACCCCUGCCAAUGGAGGACGCACCUGCUAUGGCAACAGCUAUGAAUUCCAGCUGUGCAACCUAGAGGAGUGCUCCGAGCCUUUCGCUGACUUCAGGGAGGAGCAGUGCAAGAUGUGGGACCCCUACUUUGAGUAUGACAACACCAAGCACCACUGGCUGCCCUAUGAGCAUCCUGACCCUGAUGAGAGAUGCCAACUCUACUGCAAGUCUAAGGAGACAGGAGACGUGGUGGCCAUGAACAGGAUGGUGCACGAUGGCACACGCUGCUCCUACAAAGACCCUUACAGUAUAUGUGUGCGGGGGGACUGUGAGCACGUUGGCUGUGAUAACCAGAUAGCCUCCGACACGCAGGAGGACAAAUGUGGGAUAUGUGGUGGAGACAACUCCAGCUGUAAGAUCAUCAAGGGAAACUUCACUAGAAGUGUUAAAAAACAAGGUUUCCUCAAGAUACUUGAAAUCCCCCGAGGGGCCAGGCAUCUGUUGAUCCAGGAGUUCAAGGGGACCCCUCACAUCCUCGCGGUGAAGAACCAGGCCACAGGUUAUCUGUUUCUGAAUAACGAGGAUGAGUUCCCAGAGUCCCGUAUGGUGAUAGAGAAGGGGGUGGAGUGGGAGUACCACAACGAUGACGACACGGAGACCGUCCAGACCACAGGACCUCUGGGAUAUGCUGUUCUGGUCAUGAUCCGUUCCCACGGUGACUCCAAAGUGACCCUCUCCUACAAAUACAUUCUGCACGAGAAGCUGCAGUCAUCCAUAGAGAGCAACCUGGUGCAGGAGGACACAGCCUACUUUGAAUGGGCUCUGAAAAAGUGGUCUCAGUGCUCUAAACCCUGUGGAGGAGGUAAGCAGUACACACGGUUUGGCUGCAGGAGAAAGUCCGAUGGGAAGAUGGUCCACCGCAGCUACUGUGUGAACAUUGACAAUCUCAGACCUAUCAGCAGGGAUUGUAACCAGAAAGAGUGCUCCCAGCCAGUUUGGAUCACUGGGGACUGGGAGGAGUGCAGUUCAUCCUGUGGGAAGACGGGCUACCAGAGCCGCUCUGUACGCUGUCAGCAGCCCCUCUCUGGAGGUGGCCAACGUUCCAUCCACAGCAAGUACUGUAACGAUGACAGGCCAGAGGGACGACGACCCUGCAACCGCCAGCUCUGCCCUGCCCAGUGGAGAGUAGGACCCUGGUCCCAGUGUUCGGUGACGUGUGGUAACGGGAGCCAGGAGCGCCAGGUUCUGUGUAACACUCCUGAUAACUCAGUUGGACUCUGCAUGGAGACAAAACCCAUUACACUCAGGACCUGCCAGCUAGUCCCCUGCACAGGUGACGGAAAAAACUUUUUGAUCCAGUGGCUGUCACGGUCCAACCCAGAAUUUCCUGUACCCAAGAUCUCCUCAAGGCAGUGUAAGGGGGAUAGGUCAACGUUCUGUCGUAUGGAGGUGCUGAGCAGGUACUGCACCAACACGGGGUACAGACAGAUGUGCUGCAAGUCCUGCACCGAGGGGAACUUCACCACUAUGGGCCAGAACCUCACCACUGGGUCCUGGAGAUACCUUGUAACUGGAGAUUCCUGCCUACAGUUACCGUGUAGGGCACUGCAAGGUUGGGUGACCAGGGCCAUCUGUGUCCUGCAUAACUUCAUGAGGAUAGACACGAGGACCAGGAGGGGAUCUGUAGAUCACCGCUGUGUGCCAGAGGAGACGUCUGCUGCUCUGCAGGAUGUUUCAAGGAUGGGGUCCAACAAUGCAGCAAGAGAGGCAAUCCGUCUGCGGGAGAUCAUUACCUCCUACUUCUUCAAAGACAGUGUUGUUCCCUGAGGUUAUCUUGAGUGACCGAGGUCGUGGAACAAGGCACCAUUUCCCAGUCCCGAUUCCAGUCCGCGUCCUGGGUCCAGGCCUGUCAAGCUCCACACAAGAGGUCAUCGUCCACUGCUUCUGUUGGAAAUACGUGAGAAAAGACAUUGGCUGUGAAGUUGGUAAGUUGUUUGGUAAGUAUAUAGCAUAGGUAUCUGUCUUGUAUUCCAAGUAACAUUUACAAGCAUGUAAAUAUUUGUAUAUUUUCCAUUUGUUUGCUGGUAAAUAUUUGAAACUUGCUUGAAUUGGCUGUAAAUUUAUACAUUUGCAUAUUAAAAUGUAUUCAUUGCAGGUAACAUUUUCAAUUGACUGUUCAGUUGACCAGUUAGACUUACUGGUCCUUAACCCCUUCUCCGUAGCCAUGAAUCUUUUGUGUCCAAUUCCAAAUCCAAUUUUAGGCCAGGGUUGGUAUGGAAUUAGACAUUGGUUUCUAGUUAGUGUUUGCAUAUCUAGAGGUUCUAGAUUUGUGUAUGUAAUAUGGCAGAAGUGUCCCGGAGUCCAUUACACAGCAGGGUUGAGUCAUAUUGCCACACCUAUCCAAGUCCCAUCAGGUCAAGCACUACAAAGAUAGAGUAGGGGGUUAAAGGCCUUAAUUAAAAACAAAAUCCUCCUCUCGACCUGUACCUUGACGUGGUGAGAGGGCUUUCAACUAAACCAGGCCCAUGUUAUUGAACCCCUGACUGAGACUGGCUGCCUGUCGAGGACAACUUUCUCUCCUCUCCCUCCAGACGAAAUUCUGCAUCUUGUGACGUCUGAUUGCUCAGCAAUCCACCCACUAAUCCCAUCCCCUCCUCCAUCUCAUUACAUCAUCUAAAGCUACUGUUAUUGUCAUGUUGUCAUUAUCUACUAAUAAAGUUUGCUUGCUGUGUCAUACUGGGCAUAUAAUUACUACGCAGCCUAUAUAAUGCCAAAUGUGUAGUGCUUUUCACACGCAGGUGCAUGAGCCAUGUGCUCAUAGGACUAGCAGCAGCACAAUCACCUUGUAGUAUUCUAACACAUUUGUCAAUGGAAACAACAAUAUGAACUGUAUGUUUUCAUACCUGAUAAUCUGAUCUGUUGUCCUCCUUUGACUUUUGAACUGUGUCAUGAAUGGUAAAGAAUGCUAAUAUCCACAUAAUGAAGAUUGCAUACCAAAUAAAAUACAUUUUCAGGAAUA
This is an RNA transcript of Oncorhynchus keta (chum salmon), 4863 nucleotides long. It is a transcript of the gene named A disintegrin and metalloproteinase with thrombospondin motifs 2, with no coding region annotated. Lineage: Eukaryota; Metazoa; Chordata; Actinopteri; Salmoniformes; Salmonidae. The transcript has 25 exons. The record is from RefSeq and is a predicted model, not a curated record.